Molecule: long non-coding RNA, 352 nt
Organism: Struthio camelus australis
Lineage: Eukaryota; Metazoa; Chordata; Aves; Struthioniformes; Struthionidae
Source: Ensembl
UUACUCACCCUCUGCCCAGCCUCUGGAGCUCAAGCAGUUCUUGAUGAUAGCCAGCAACAGGAACUGACCCUCUCAGCACUUUCCAUCUAUUUUAUUUCAGGUACUUCACAGAUAGCUUGGACUUGCUGGCGCUGUGACUCAACCUUCAGCUUUCCGGAAGCUGAUAGAAGACAAUAUCUGUGUAUUUCUGUAGAAAUGUACCAGUCGGAAAAGGCUGCAAAAAUUCUGGCCACCAUGUAAAUCCCACAGACUCAUUUGGGAAGAAGAGGAGGCAAAAAACUUUGUGUUGGCCCUCUGAAUGAAGGUGAGUGUUGCUCUCUGUACACACUGAUGAAACCAAAGCUAAAUGAUC